AAUUACUUUCCAAUUUCUCUCUUCAAACCCUAAAUGCUUGAGCCGUUUUCCUCUGCAAUAUUCAAAUCGACGAUUUAGAGAUCUGAUUAUCCACGAUUCGAGGGAUGGUAGUGUUUAUAGUUUCAAUAAAGGUUUGUAGGGGCGGUUGUUGGUGGCGGCAAUGAUGGGUAUUGUAGGCUAGGGUUAACGGCGCGAGCCUAACUCUUGUGACUCACUACCAUUCGAACCUUUGGUGGUUGACAACAAUGAGUAUUCUGGGAUUGAUGAGUUAA
This 272-nucleotide long non-coding RNA is filed under the name Helianthus annuus (common sunflower). Its description in RNAcentral is "sRNA HanXRQr2_Chr13g0614881". Lineage: Eukaryota; Viridiplantae; Streptophyta; Magnoliopsida; Asterales; Asteraceae. The record is from RNAcentral.